This is a non-coding RNA of Cinara cedri, 844 nucleotides long. The record is from the annotation of a GenBank genome assembly. NCBI's taxonomy places the organism in Eukaryota, Metazoa, Arthropoda, Insecta, Hemiptera, Aphididae.
UUAUCAAUGUUUUUAUUUAUAUAACCGUUCGCCGGCCAGUUUUUCGUAUAACUAUCUAAUAACAGUCGUAUAAAUCGUAAUAACCGUGUUAUUCGUGCAUGCCGCGCUGCUGAUCUAAAUUUAUAGUGGUGCAGUUUUAUCAAGCUUCUGUAGGUACUAUGCAUACACCUUGUUUCAAGUGAUAAAGGAAAUUAUUCGUUCUCGCUGUCUAUUAUUAUCAAAUGUCUGUAUGUAUAUACAUACAUCGUGCACUAAGUGUUCAAACUGAUUAAUUGUACUUGUACUAUUUGUUUUGUAAUAACAUUCGUGUCAAUAAGUUGCAUUUGUAUUUUUUAUUCCAUGGGGCAACGUUCGUACUGAUUAUCUAUUGCUGUUAAAAUAACUUCUAUCGAACCAUGCGUUCCACAAAAGUAAAUCUAUCAACUUCAUCUUAAUAUCCUAAAACCCGUCUUUAAGCAUCAAAUAAUGAUUUUAUGACAGCUCUUAGCGCUUUUUGUGAUGAAAUCUUAGAGUCUAACAAAGUCCUCUCGACUACUUUAACAACUAAUUUCGAUGAGCUUAGAAAUGACUUCAAGCAGUUAUCUGCAAUAGUCGCCGACCUCAGGAUGGAAAAUGAUAAGUUGCGGCUUAAUGCGAAUCAUCUAAAUAGUAAAAUGGUAACCCUCAAAUUGUCAGGACUGGCUGUGCAAUCCUCUUCUGUCAUUGCUUAAGUCAUGUAGGAGACUUUCGAACGUGAGAGAUGAUUUGGUAAUAUACUCGUAUAUAUUGUUACGAAAUCAUCUUAUUCUUCAUCUCAACGCGUCUCAGGUGAUAAAACUAAUUUUAUCAAUCUUCUUGAACCUCU